RNAcentral lists this transfer RNA (74 nucleotides) under Deltaproteobacteria bacterium. Its description in RNAcentral is "tRNA-Arg". It matches the Rfam family "tRNA". From Rfam's summary of the family: Transfer RNA (tRNA) molecules are approximately 80 nucleotides in length. Their secondary structure includes four short double-helical elements and three loops (D, anti-codon, and T loops). Further hydrogen bonds mediate the characteristic L-shaped molecular structure. tRNAs have two regions of fundamental functional importance: the anti-codon, which is responsible for specific mRNA codon recognition, and the 3' end, to which the tRNAs corresponding amino acid is attached (by aminoacyl-tRNA synthetases). tRNAs cope with the degeneracy of the genetic code in two manners: having more than one tRNA (with a specific anti-codon) for a particular amino acid; and 'wobble' base-pairing, i.e. permitting non-standard base-pairing at the 3rd anti-codon position. The record is from RNAcentral. Lineage: Bacteria; Pseudomonadati; Myxococcota; Myxococcia.
ACGCCCAUAGCUCAGUUGGAUAGAGCGUCGGACUACGAAUCCGAAGGUCAGAGGUUCGAAUCCUCUUGGGCGUA